CCUACGGGGGGCAGCAGUGGGGAAUAUUGCACAAUGGGGGGAACCCUGAUGCAGCCAUGCCGCGUGAAUGAAGAAGGCCUUCGGGUUGUAAAGUUCUUUCGGUGACGAGGAAGGUUGGUAGGUUAAUAGCCUAUCAAAUUGACGUUAAUCACAGAAGAAGCACCGGCUAACUCCGUGCCAGCAGCCGCGGUAAUACGGGGGGUGCGAGCGUUAAUCGGAAUAACUGGGCGUAAAGGGCACGCAGGCGGUGACUUAAGUGAGAUGUGAAAGCCACGAGCUUAAGUUGG
Molecule: ribosomal RNA, 287 nt
Filed under: uncultured bacterium
Lineage: Bacteria
Description: partial 16S ribosomal RNA
Rfam family: Bacterial small subunit ribosomal RNA
Source: RNAcentral